CAGCCUGCCGAAGAGCGUGCGGCUUCUACUGCGGCUGCGCAAGCUCGACGCGCGCACUCUUGUCUGCUUACGAGGGCUCCUCCCUUCAGCUUUGGUCCCUCGGGGCGUCUGGGCAGCCUACGCUUUCCGACUGGAAUCAGCCAUUUUACCAAGAAAGUUGGGUUUCUUUUACUGGCAAAUAGUACUUCAAGAGCACAGUCUUAUGUAAGGGAGCUGUACCAAGUUAUUUUGGGUCAGAAUUCUCCUGGGAUAUCUUUUUUCUUCGCCUUUUUAAACUCGUUUAUUAUAAAAACAAUGUUACCAUAUGCAAAACUAGAAGAGUGUAAUGAAUUCCCGUGUGUCCAUCAUCUAUCUUUAACAGAAGUACAGUCUAUAUAAAGACUGUCCAGGACAAAAACUGGCCACUCCAUUCAGCAUUGACAGCAGUAUUUAAAGCUGGUGCAUGGUGAGGUGAAGUUUCUCAAGGGCAAAGACAAUGCCUUCAUGCAUGUUCAGUGUCUGCCCCCGUGGGCUUUGAAAUGAUCGCUGACAAUGGGGGAUCUGCAGUGACUUCUCUGCCUCUGCCAAAGCCCAGGGGUGCUGCUCCCUAAUUCUAAGGAUUCUAAUGAGACUCAGAGCAGGUGUAACACAGGGCAUGGAGCUUCCUGAGCAAGAGGCUGGCUAACAAACUGUGGACGUGGUACUUAGACACAUUAAGAGACAUUACAGGGACACCUGCAAGUAUGUCUCCCUGGGGAGAAGCCAAGUGCAGAUGCUAUGGCCACAGAUGAUAUGGUUUGGCUCUGUGUCCCCACUCAAAUCUCAUCUCAAGUUGUAAUCCCUGGAUGUCGAGGGAGGGACCUGGUGGGAGGUGAUUGGAUUGGUUCGCAUGAUAGUGAGGGAGUUCUCACGAGAUCUGGUUGUUUGAUAAGUGUCUGGCAUUUCUCCUGUGCUGUCUCUCCUGCCACCUUGUGAAGAAGGUGCCUGCUUCUCCUUCGCCUUCCGCCAUGAUUGUAAGUUUCCUGAGGCCUCCCUAGCAAUGCAGAACUGUGAGUCAAUUAAACUUCCUUUCUUUAUAAAUUACCCAGUCUCGAAUGGUAUCUUUAUACCAAUGUAAGAACAGACUAAUACAGACAGGGACCACAAAGCAAGAAUUUAGGGCCUGAAGAGUCUUCAGCAUUGAAAAUCUUCACUCAGAAUCCCUGGUCCCUGCAUUGAGAGCACUGGGUAGAUCACUGAACUCCCCUGACAACACUGCAAAGUGCUGGGUACCUACGAUGCCACACCCUCUCCUCUGACCUCACAGUGUUAAAGUAAGGGGGCCCAUAGUACACGAUGUUACUGUCAGCAUGCUAUGUGUCGUGACUCAGCAACAGCACAUUCACCAAAGGAGAAACCCCUCCGUCUCUCUAUCUAGGCAGCCAGCCUUUUGACUUGUAUUCGGGGAUCUGGAGACUAUCAUUCCCUUAGGAAUUAGGUUCACUAGAGGAGCAUUCUGGUCACUAUGGGACAUUUUCCUCUGAAUUUGAAAGUAAACAGCCCCUGAAAGCAACAGGAAGACAUAAUCAGAGAACUCAGCAUUAAAAACCAAUAAUGAAUAGUAUCAAUGUAAUGCUUCCAUUAGAAACCUCUACUUUUACCAAAAUGAUUUAAAUGGGGUUGCUCAGAACUGAGUCCUCUCCAUCUCUGACAGCCCAUGCUGGGUUGUGAAGGUGUGUGCUUAUUGCUGAGGACUGGAAAGGGGGCAUUUCUUGGAGCCUUGGAGCCCUGGGAGCGAGCCAGCCACCUCUCUCCAGAUGACAGGCCUACCGGACACCACUCUCCUCCCCGAGCUGUAUGUCAAAAGGCCAUAAAGCUUGCAAAUGCAUGCAGACCGACUCGCCCCUUGAGUAUCAGUGGCUCUUGGAAAAUACAGAGAAUAACUGGAACAUCAACUAAAGUCCCCCAUAAUCCCAACACCAGAGACAGCCUGUGUUAAGAGUUUUUGGGUUUCCUUCUGUACUAUUCUUGAUGUAUCUGGCAAAGGGACCUCAAAAGCAGGGAGUGUGCAGGGGAGGAAGCCUGGCUCCACCACCCCCACACCAAAGGGAGCCUCAGGCUCCAUGAGGAAGAGAGCUUUUCCUUUAUAAAGCAAGGUCUUGGCCAGGUGCGGUGGCUCACGCCUAUAAUCCCAACACUUUGGGAGGCUGAGGCAGGCAGAUCACUUGAGCUCAGGAGCUGGAGAACAGCCUGGGUAACAUGGCGAACCCCUGUGUCUACAAAAAAUACAAAAAUUAGCUGGGCGUGGGUGGUGCAUGCCUCAAGUCCCAGCUACUUGGGAGGUGGAGAUUGCAGUGAGCUGAGCUCGCGCCACUGCAUUCCAGCACCCCAGCCUGGGUAAUAGAGUAAGACCCUGUCUCCAAAAAAAAAAAGGUUGUGGUUGUGGCUUCCUCUUGCUGACUCACUCGUGGCAGUGCCCCCCAAGGCUUGCCCUAUGGCUUCUCACAGAAGUGACAAGAGAAGCAUCCCGGAUGGGAACCCAGCCCUUCUCAGUCUAGCGUCCAUCUGCUGCUGCCUACAUAGAAAUUUACUAUGUUUACACCAGGAAAAUGAUGCUUUAAACCCACAGAAGAAAAGCAUGUAGGCCAGGAGCAGUGGCUCACACCUGAAUCCCAGCACUUUGGGAGGCUGUGUGGGAGGGUUGCUUGAACCCAGGAGUUUAAAAAGACCAUCUUGGGCAAAAUGGUGAAACCCAAUCUCUACAAAAAAAGUUAAAAAAAAAUAAAAAACCAAGUAAUGCAACCUGUAAAGGAUGCCAAGCUUCUAAUCCAAGGGGAUUCAGAACCCCUGUGAGGCACUGUAGCUCCCCACUUUACCUUCACAAUACACGACGUGUCUGAAAACACAAGGAGCCAGCCUUGA
RNAcentral lists this long non-coding RNA (2880 nucleotides) under Homo sapiens (human). RNAcentral describes it as "HSALNT0405499". The stretch from base 1 to 129 matches the Rfam family "TTC28 antisense RNA 1 conserved region 1", at positions 34 to 162 of the family's 162-position model. Lineage: Eukaryota; Metazoa; Chordata; Mammalia; Primates; Hominidae. The record is from RNAcentral.